Molecule: long non-coding RNA, 982 nt
Organism: Oreochromis aureus
Lineage: Eukaryota; Metazoa; Chordata; Actinopteri; Cichliformes; Cichlidae
Exons: 4
Source: RefSeq, a predicted model, not a curated record
CUGGGGAGACGAUGUGUUCACAGGAAACCUGAAGAAGAUGGAGAAGAUGAGAUCAUACACAGUACCAUCAAAAUAUCAAAUCAUCCACAACAGCCAAUCAAACCAAGAAGAGACAUUUAUUCAGCUGUGGUCUACUCAGCAGUGAGAACUGAAGACGUCAGUUAUGGACAAACAACCAUCAGAACAAGGAGGCCCAGACUUUAAACCAGAGCCAGACGUCGUCUACUCUUCACUGAAGUAGUCCACCAGUCCAACCACUGACGUCCAGCUGCUGGUCUCUAACUGAUCCCCCAGCACCUCAGACCAAAGGAGAUCCACAAAAUGAUAAAACAUUUUUUUAUUGUUUUGCAUUUUGCAGCAAAAUCAUCAAAAUCAAUCAAUGCAUCCAACUCUUACCAAAAACUGCUUUGUUUGUGGUAAGAGUGCAGUUUAUUGCCAUCACUUCAAAUUCAGUAUAACGCAACAAAAAAGUUUUAUUAUUUUUUUAAUACACCAUGGAAGUACUGAUUAUCUGCUUGUAUCCAUGUUAAUAUAUAAAGUAAACCAUCUCCCUCUAGUGGCCAUAUAUAAACCAUGCGAGGGGAUGGAUUUAAUUUAAUAUGUGAAUCAUAGUGUUCCAGUUGGUCAUCAGUGUGUCUGCACAGCUUCAGUUGUAAUGUUGCAGUCUGAGACAACACUGGCAUCUCAUGGUGCAGUGUUGUCUGAUAGUUAAAUUUUAGACACUGAAUCAAAUAAAUGAAAAAGCAACAACAAAAUGCAUAAAAACACCUUUUAGAAUGAUGUUAAUAGGAUAUAAAAAUUGAAUAAUAAUGAUCCAGUCAGUCAUCAGGGUGUCUCUGCACAGUUCUAAUUGUAAUUUUCCAGUUUGAACUCAUGAUGGCAGUGUUGUUAUCCUGGAUCAACACGAUUGAAAGUAAAAUUCUUUAGAGCUGAUUUAAAACCAGUCAACUGACUAAUGACACAGAGAUGUCUAUCAGUGUAA